UCGGUCAAUGGACACAACUCAAACAAAAAAGUUUGUACCUUGUCAAAAGAGUGCUUGCUCCUCCGGCUGAUGGACCCCAACUUGUUAAAAAACCAUCUAAUUUACACAACAAGCCAAGUAUGUCAAACGAUUCAGAUUUACAAGUAUCAAACAAGAAUUCUGUUUCAGAUAAG
Long non-coding RNA from Hordeum vulgare subsp. vulgare (domesticated barley), 173 nucleotides. RefSeq lists it as uncharacterized. The transcript is spliced from 2 exons. The record is from RefSeq and is a predicted model, not a curated record. NCBI's taxonomy places the organism in Eukaryota, Viridiplantae, Streptophyta, Magnoliopsida, Poales, Poaceae.